CUGCAGAGAAGGUGAGAGAUAAACAAAAAUAACUGCAAGAUCUUGAAGCUACCCACAAGGAGUUAAUGGAAUUGAGUUCAAAUCGUUUGGAGGAAAUUAGGAGACUGCACAAAGAGAGAAUCGAAACUUUGAACAAGUUAGCUACAUUUCAGAAUAUACUGACAGAUUUCAAAAGCAUCUAUUCUUCCAAAGCUUUUCAGCUUGUUAAUGACCAACUUCAGAAGUCUCAAGCAGAGUUGGAUGAUCACAAAUCAUUGUUAGAAAAAUUACAGGUGGUUACUGGUUGAUAUGGAUAGCUUUGUUUGGCAAGAAAGGCAAUUUAAUAAAAAAAAUUGAUCUGGCUGAAAUACCCAAGAUGGUUUUUGCAUACUAUGUUUCUAGGAUUGCUGAUCUUGAGAAGGAUGUCCAGAAACUAUGUAAUGAAAAGAAUAUCCUGGUGCUGAAAUUUGAAGAGGCUUCGAGAG
This is a long non-coding RNA of Panicum virgatum (switchgrass), 464 nucleotides long. RefSeq lists it as uncharacterized. The record is from RefSeq and is a predicted model, not a curated record. The transcript has 4 exons. Lineage: Eukaryota; Viridiplantae; Streptophyta; Magnoliopsida; Poales; Poaceae.